GGGGUUGCCAAAAGUGGUGGAGUUCCGGCACUUUCAGGUCGAGGUUCACCAAUCAGGAACCGCUCAUAACGGUCUGGUUCCAGGUUCGAGUCCUGGUGGGCCCACCA
RNAcentral lists this transfer RNA (107 nucleotides) under Lentisphaerota bacterium. RNAcentral's name for it is "Lentisphaerae bacterium (anaerobic digester metagenome) tRNA-Ser". Lineage: Bacteria; Pseudomonadati; Lentisphaerota. The record is from RNAcentral.